Molecule: ribosomal RNA, 460 nt
Filed under: uncultured bacterium
Lineage: Bacteria
Description: partial 16S ribosomal RNA
Rfam family: Bacterial small subunit ribosomal RNA
Source: RNAcentral
CCUACGGGUGGCAGCAGUGAGGAAUAUUGGUCAAUGGGCGAGAGCCUGAACCAGCCAAGUCGCGUGAAGGAUGAAGGAUCUAUGGUUUGUAAACUUCUUUUAUAUGGGAAUAAAGUGAGGAACGUGUUCCUUUUUGUAUGUACCAUAUGAAUAAGCAUCGGCUAACUCCGUGCCAGCAGCCGCGGUAAUACGGAGGAUGCGAGCGUUAUCCGGAUUUAUUGGGUUUAAAGGGUGCGUAGGUGGUUAAUUAAGUCAGCGGUGAAAGUUUGUGGCUCAACCAUAAAAUUGCCGUUGAAACUGGUAGACUUGAGUAUAUUUGAGGUAGGCGGAAUGCGUGGUGUAGCGGUGAAAUGCAUAGAUAUCACGCAGAACUCCGAUUGCGAAGGCAGCUUACUAAACUCUCACUGACACUGAAGCACGAAAGCGUGGGGAUCAAACAGGAUUAGAUACCCUUGUAGUC